This 494-nucleotide ribosomal RNA is filed under the name uncultured bacterium. Its description in RNAcentral is "partial 16S ribosomal RNA". It matches the Rfam family "Bacterial small subunit ribosomal RNA", at positions 28 to 507 of the family's 1533-position model. The record is from RNAcentral.
GACGAACGCUGGCGGCGUGCUUAACACAUGCAAGUCGAACGGAAAGCCCUGCUUUCCCUUGUGGAUUGCGGGUACUCGAGUGGCGAACGGGUGAGUAACACGUGAGUGAUCUGCCCCCAACUUGGGUAUAAGCCUGGGAAACUGGGUCUAAUUCCCGAUAGGACUGCAGGGUGGUGCCUGUGGUGGAAAACGAUUUUCUAGUGGUUGGGGAUGAGCUCGCGGCCUAUCAGCUUGUUGGUGGGGUAAUGGCCUACCAAGGCGGCGACGGGUAGCCGGCCUGAGAGGGUGGACGGCCACAUUGGGACUGAGAUACGGCCCAGACUCCUACGGGAGGCAGCAGUGGGGAAUAUUGCACAAUGGGCGGAAGCCUGAUGCAGCGACGCCGCGUGGGGGAUGACGGCCUUCGGGUUGUAAACUCCUUUCGACCGCGAGGAAGCCACCUGGUUGGAAGGGUGGUGACGGUAGUGGUAGAAGAAGCACCGGCUAACUACGUG